UUCGGGUCGUAAACUCCUUUCGAUCGGGACGAAUCGGUCGCGACCUAACACGUCGCGGCACUGACGGUACCGAGAGAAGAAGCCCCGGCUAACUCCGUGCCAGCAGCCGCGGUAAUACGGGGGGGGCAAGCGUUGUUCGGAAUUACUGGGCGUAAAGGGCGCGUAGGCGGCCUGCUUAGUCGGACGUGAAAUCCCGAGGCUCAACCUCGGGCCUGCAGUGGGUACGGGCAGACUGGAGUGCGGUAGGGGAGAAUGGAAUUCCUGGUGUAGCGGUGGAAUGCGCAGAUAUCAGGAGGAACACCGAUGGCGAAGGCAGUUCUCUGGGCCGUAACUGACGCUGAGGAGCGAAAGCGUGGGGAGCGAACAGGAUUAGAUACCCUGGUAGUCCACGCCGUAAACGUUGGGCGCUAGAUGUGGGGACCUUUCCACGGUUUCCGUGUCGUAGCUAACGCAUUAAGCGCCCCGCCUGGGGAGUACGGCCGCAAGGCUAAAACUCAAAGGAAUUGACGGGGGCCCGCACAAGCGGCGGAGCAUGCGGAUUAAUUCGAUGCAACGCGAAGAACCUUACCAAGGCUUGACAUAACCGAGAACGCCCUAGAAAUAGGGAACUCUUUGGACACUCGGUUACAGGUGGUGCAUGGUUGUCGUCAGCUCGUGUCGUGAGAUGUUGGGUUAAAUCCCGCAACGAGCGCAACCCUC
Molecule: ribosomal RNA, 699 nt
Filed under: uncultured Leifsonia sp.
Lineage: Bacteria; Bacillati; Actinomycetota; Actinomycetes; Micrococcales; Microbacteriaceae
Description: bacterial SSU rRNA
Rfam family: Bacterial small subunit ribosomal RNA
Source: RNAcentral